RNAcentral lists this ribosomal RNA (429 nucleotides) under Chloroflexota bacterium. RNAcentral describes it as "Chloroflexi bacterium partial 16S ribosomal RNA". It matches the Rfam family "Bacterial small subunit ribosomal RNA", at positions 355 to 776 of the family's 1533-position model. The record is from RNAcentral. Lineage: Bacteria; Bacillati; Chloroflexota.
UGGGGAAUAUUGCACAAUGGGCGCAAGCCUGAUGCAGCCAUGCCGCGUGUAUGAAGAAGGCCUUCGGGUUGUAAAGUACUUUCAGCGGGGAGGAAGGGAGUAAAGUUAAUACCUUUGCUCAUUGACGUUACCCGCAGAAGAAGCACCGGCUAACUCCGUGCCAGCAGCCGCGGUAAUACGGAGGGUGCAAGCGUUAAUCGGAAUUACUGGGCGUAAAGCGCACGCAGGCGGUUUGUUAAGUCAGAUGUGAAAUCCCCGGGCUCAACCUGGGAACUGCAUCUGAUACUGGGAAGCUUGAGUCUCGUAGAAGGGGGUAGAAUUCCAGGUGUAGCGGUGAAAUGCGUAGAGAUCUGGGGGAAUACCGGUGGCGAAGGCGGCCCCCUGGACAAAGACUGACGCUCAGGUGCGAAAGCGUGGGGAGCAAACAGG